GAUGAAGAUGGAUCCUCACACUUAUACUGUGCUUUAAGAAAGAUGAAAUAAAGACCAAAUCUCUGGAUAUAUGUAGGACCAUGUGACCAGUUCUCCCCAGUGGGAUGUGAACAGAAGUGAUCCAUUUUUGAGAGAGAGGAAGGAAGGAAGGAAGGAAG
Gorilla gorilla gorilla (western lowland gorilla) is the source of this 158-nucleotide long non-coding RNA. RefSeq lists it as uncharacterized. The transcript is spliced from 3 exons. The record is from RefSeq and is a predicted model, not a curated record. Lineage: Eukaryota; Metazoa; Chordata; Mammalia; Primates; Hominidae.